CUACGGGUGGCUGCAGUGAGGAAUAUUGGACAAUGGAUGGCAAUCUGAUCCAGCCAUGCCGCGUGAAGGAAGAAUGUCCUAUGGAUUGUAAACUUCUUUUGUAUGGGAGCAAUAAGUUGUACGCGUACAAUGAUGAGAGUACCAUACGAAUAAGCAUCGGCUAACUCCGUGCCAGCAGCCGCGGUAAUACGGAGGAUGCGAGCGUUAUCCGGAUUUAUUGGGUUUAAAGGGUGCGUAGGCGGUUACUGUAAGUCAGCGGUGAAAUUUAGGGGCUUAACCCCUACCGUGCCGUUGAUACUGCAGAGCUAGAAGAGGGAUGCUGUUGGCGGAAUGUGUAGUGUAGCGGUGAAAUGCAUAGAUAUUACACAGAACACCGAUUGCGAAGGCAGCUGACAAAUCCCUUAUUGACGCUGAUGCACGAAAGUGUGGGGAUCGAACAGGAUUAGAUACCCUGGUAGUC
RNAcentral lists this ribosomal RNA (460 nucleotides) under uncultured bacterium. RNAcentral describes it as "partial 16S ribosomal RNA". It matches the Rfam family "Bacterial small subunit ribosomal RNA", at positions 339 to 795 of the family's 1533-position model. The record is from RNAcentral.